Non-coding RNA from Pelobates cultripes (western spadefoot toad), 202 nucleotides. Lineage: Eukaryota; Metazoa; Chordata; Amphibia; Anura; Pelobatidae. The record is from the annotation of a GenBank genome assembly.
GGGGAUUACACCUCUGUCCCCCUCACCCACCGAACCUGGAAGCACGCGGCAUACAUGCCAAGAAUGCGUAAGGGAGCAGCAUCCAUGCGCCACAGCCCUGUGCCAGGACAAGUAGUACUGCAGAAGGAAUGGAAGUGCGCAGCAUCAGGACCUGAAUCAGAGCAGGUAUGAUGCUGAUUAAAAUGGCCUGCUUUCAAUGUCC